CCUACGGGAUGCACCAGUGGGGAAUAUUGGACAAUGGGCGAAAGCCUGAUCCAGCAAUGCCGCGUGUGUGAAGAAGGUCUUCGGAUUGUAAAGCACUUUCGACGGGGACGAUGAUGACGGUACCCGUAGAAGAAGCCCCGGCUAACUUCGUGCCAGCAGCCGCGGUAAUACGAAGGGGGCUAGCGUUGCUCGGAAUGACUGGGCGUAAAGGGCGCGUAGGCGGUUUAUGCAGUCAGAUGUGAAAUCCCCGGGCUUAACCUGGGAACUGCAUUUGAGACGCAUAGACUAGAGGUCGAGAGAGGGUUGUGGUAUUCCCAGUGUAGAGGUGAAAUUCGUAGAUAUUGGGAAGAACACCGGUGGCGAAGGCGGCUUACAGGUCUGCAACUGACGCUGAGGCGCGAAAGCGUGGGGAGCAAACAGGAUUAGAUACCCGUGUAGUC
RNAcentral lists this ribosomal RNA (440 nucleotides) under uncultured bacterium. RNAcentral's name for it is "bacterial SSU rRNA". It matches the Rfam family "Bacterial small subunit ribosomal RNA", at positions 338 to 795 of the family's 1533-position model. The record is from RNAcentral.